UACGUAGGUGGCAAGCGUUGUCCGGAAUUAUUGGGCGUAAAGCGCGCGCAGGUGGUUUCUUAAGUCUGAUGUGAAAGCCCACGGCUCAACCGUGGAGGGUCAUUGGAAACUGGGGAACUUGAGUGCAGGAGAGAAGAGUGGAAUUCCACGUGUAGCGGUGAAAUGCGUAGAGAUGUGGAGGAACACCAGUGGCGAAGGCGACUCUUUGGCCUGUAACUGACACUGAGGCGCAAAAGCGUGGGGAGCAAACAGG
This 253-nucleotide ribosomal RNA is filed under the name uncultured bacterium. RNAcentral describes it as "partial 16S ribosomal RNA". It matches the Rfam family "Bacterial small subunit ribosomal RNA", at positions 524 to 776 of the family's 1533-position model. The record is from RNAcentral.